CAGUAGCGUAUAUUAAAGUUGUUGCAUUUAAAAAGCUCGUAGUUGGUGUUCCGCUUGGUCUCACCCAUGCCAGUCGUGGGCGUGUGCCUUGUGGUCCUCGGUGCGUACACCGUUAGCACUGUGAGAAAAUUAGAGUGAUCCAACCAGUCUUUGACUGAAUGCUUCAGCACGGUAUGGGGUUUCGACUCUGCUUCUUGCAGCAUCCGUGUGAGAGUUGCGGGGUAAAGGUUAACAGAGACAGACAAUGGGAUCCGUAUUGAGUUGCUAGAGGUGAAAUUCUUGGACCAACUCAAGACGUUCUGAAGCGAAAGCUCUUUCCACGCAUGUCCUUAUUAAUCAAGAACGAAAGUUGAGGGAUCGAAAGCUCUUUCCACGCAUGUCCUUAUUAA
This 389-nucleotide ribosomal RNA is filed under the name uncultured eukaryote. RNAcentral's name for it is "partial 18S ribosomal RNA". It matches the Rfam family "Eukaryotic small subunit ribosomal RNA", at positions 592 to 1022 of the family's 1831-position model. The record is from RNAcentral.